This 236-nucleotide ribosomal RNA is filed under the name uncultured Staphylococcus sp. RNAcentral describes it as "partial 16S ribosomal RNA". It matches the Rfam family "Bacterial small subunit ribosomal RNA", at positions 104 to 334 of the family's 1533-position model. The record is from RNAcentral. Lineage: Bacteria; Bacillati; Bacillota; Bacilli; Caryophanales; Staphylococcaceae.
GGGUGAGUAACACGUGGAUAACCUACCUAUAAGACUGGGAUAACUUCGGGAAACCGGAGCUAAUACCGGAUAAUAUUUUGAACCGCAUGGUUCAAAAGUGAAAGACGGUCUUGCUGUCACUUAUAGAUGGAUCCGCGCUGCAUUAGUUAGUUGGUAAGGUAACGGCUUACCAAGGCAACGAUGCAUAGCCGACCUGAGAGGGUGAUCGGCCACACUGGAACUGAGACACGGUCCAG